Molecule: ribosomal RNA, 486 nt
Filed under: uncultured bacterium
Lineage: Bacteria
Description: partial 16S ribosomal RNA
Rfam family: Bacterial small subunit ribosomal RNA
Source: RNAcentral
AUUGAACGCUGGCGACAUGCCUUACACAUGCAAGUCGAACGGCAGCACGGGUGCUUGCACCUGGUGGCGAGUGGCGAACGGGUGAGUAAUACAUCGGAACAUGUCCUGUAGUGGGGGAUAGCCCGGCGAAAGCCGGAUUAAUACCGCAUACGAUCUACGGAUGAAAGCGGGGGACCUUCGGGCCUCGCGCUAUAGGGUUGGCCGAUGGCGGAUUAGUUGGUUGGGGGGGUAAAGGCCAACCAAGGCGACGAUCCGGAGCUGGUCUGAGAGGACGACUAGGCACACUGGGACUGAGACACGGCCCAGACUCCUACGGGAGGCAGCAGUGGGGAAUUUUGGACAAGGGGCGAAAGCCUGAGCCAGCAAUGCCGCGUGUGUGAAGAAGGCCUUCGGGUUGUAAAGCACUUUUGUCCGGAAAGAAAUCCUUGGCCCUAAUACGGUCGGGGGAUGACGGUACCGGAAGGAUAAGCACCGGCUAACUACGUG